GGUGUCAUAGUAUAGUGGUCAGUACAUCACGUUGUGGAGUGAUUAAUCACCCACGACCACGGGCACUUCCGUGAAGACCCCGGUUCGAUUCCGGGUGACGCCA
This 103-nucleotide transfer RNA is filed under the name Pestalotiopsis fici W106-1. It matches the Rfam family "tRNA". Rfam says of the family: Transfer RNA (tRNA) molecules are approximately 80 nucleotides in length. Their secondary structure includes four short double-helical elements and three loops (D, anti-codon, and T loops). The record is from Rfam by way of RNAcentral. Lineage: Eukaryota; Fungi; Ascomycota; Sordariomycetes; Amphisphaeriales; Sporocadaceae.